AUUCAGCCUGAUUCCAACUAAUUAAUUGCCAUCGAUUGUAAGCUAAAAAUUAUUAAAAACCACUUUGAAGCUAUGAAAAUAUAGUCAUUAGACUAGCAUAUUAUUGUGCUAUAAAAGAAGAGCUGCCACCAUAAAUUAUAACAGAAUGGAAUUUCUGACUAGCUACAUAAGAAGACGGAUGAUUUAUACAUAUCUUACAUGGAUAUAUCAUAUAUCUAAUAAAGUCAGAAAAUAAAAGAUCCUAGAGCGUUCUAGGCAACUCCUCUUAUCCUCGGAACUGACUAGCUACAUAAGAAGCCAUUCAAUUGGCGACUUUGUUUGCCUUUCUGAAUAUAUACUUGGUUUGGAAGGCCACUCCAUUCUCACUAUAGGCCAAAUAUUCCAAAGCAGAUGAUGGCCCUCCACUGAUACAGCUAAAGCUACCCUAAAUCCAGCCGACAAUAGUGGUUGAGUCACCCUAAAAAAUAGCGGAGUCGGCCCGAAGCACCUGUCAGGCAUGGCUCAAGCCAACCCAUGCCACACUAAGCUCUACACUGAGAACUGAGGUGUCAAAAAUCUGAUAGCUUUCCACCACGACCAUCCUAGAUUCAACCCUGUGAGGACGAAGUCAGCACCUCCUCUCUGUCUAUUAUCAAUCACGCGAACAUCAAAAUUG
Molecule: long non-coding RNA, 655 nt
Filed under: Phoenix dactylifera (date palm)
Lineage: Eukaryota; Viridiplantae; Streptophyta; Magnoliopsida; Arecales; Arecaceae
Description: long non-coding RNA (PDAC_LNC019873)
Source: RNAcentral